Long non-coding RNA from Pistacia vera, 352 nucleotides. RefSeq lists it as uncharacterized. The record is from RefSeq and is a predicted model, not a curated record. The transcript is spliced from 3 exons. NCBI's taxonomy places the organism in Eukaryota, Viridiplantae, Streptophyta, Magnoliopsida, Sapindales, Anacardiaceae.
GUAACUGACAGGAAGGGAAUUAGUAACUGACAGGAAGGAGAAGACGCCUGCGAAGGCUGAAACUGCAGUCUUGUUUGAGAAACUUAGAGAGCUUGGCAUUCUUGUUGGGAAAUGUUUUCAGAAUCAAACCACCAAAGAUGAUGCAGAUUUUUUUGUUGAUGCUUUGGACUAUGCAAUGUCAAGGUUACGAGAGUAUUAGUCUUUUAAGAGCCUGGGAAAAUCAUGUAAAUCUUUCAACUCCUUUAAUAUUCAAACUCAUAAGAGAGCUUUUUUUCAAUAAUAUCAAGCAUAUUUACACAAAUUUCAGCUCACUGUUAAAUGAUGAAAUGUAUAUUUCAAUCACAAUAUACAA